This 1037-nucleotide ribosomal RNA is filed under the name Campylobacter concisus. Its description in RNAcentral is "bacterial SSU rRNA". It matches the Rfam family "Bacterial small subunit ribosomal RNA", at positions 169 to 1224 of the family's 1533-position model. Lineage: Bacteria; Pseudomonadati; Campylobacterota; Epsilonproteobacteria; Campylobacterales; Campylobacteraceae. The record is from RNAcentral.
CUCUAUACUCCUGUCUUACAUAAGUUAGAUAGGGAAAGUUUUUCGGUGUAGGAUGAGGCUAUAUUGUAUCAGCUAGUUGGUGAGGUAAUGGCUCACCAAGGCUAUGACGCAUAACUGGUCUGAGAGGAUGAUCAGUCACACUGGAACUGAGACACGGUCCAGACUCCUACGGGAGGCAGCAGUAGGGAAUAUUGCUCAAUGGGGGAAACCCUGAAGCAGCAACGCCGCGUGGAGGAUGACACUUUUCGGAGCGUAAACUCCUUUUGUUAGGGAAGAAUAAUGACGGUACCUAACGAAUAAGCACCGGCUAACUCCGUGCCAGCAGCCGCGGUAAUACGGAGGGUGCAAGCGUUACUCGGAAUCACUGGGCGUAAAGGACGCGUAGGCGGAUUAUCAAGUCUCUUGUGAAAUCCUAUGGCUUAACCAUAGAACUGCUUGGGAAACUGAUAAUCUAGAGUGAGGGAGAGGCAGAUGGAAUUGGUGGUGUAGGGGUAAAAUCCGUAGAGAUCACCAGGAAUACCCAUUGCGAAGGCGAUCUGCUGGAACUCAACUGACGCUAAUGCGUGAAAGCGUGGGGAGCAAACAGGAUUAGAUACCCUGGUAGUCCACGCCCUAAACGAUGUAUACUAGUUGUUGCUAAGCUAGUCUUGGCAGUAAUGCACCUAACGGAUUAAGUAUACCGCCUGGGGAGUACGGUCGCAAGAUUAAAACUCAAAGGAAUAGACGGGGACCCGCACAAGCGGUGGAGCAUGUGGUUUAAUUCGAAGAUACGCGAAGAACCUUACCCGGACUUGAUAUCUAACAAAUCAUCCAGAGAUGGAAGAGUGUCUGCUUGCAGAAAUGUUAAGACAGGUGCUGCACGGCUGUCGUCAGCUCGUGUCGUGAGAUGUUGGGUUAAGUCCCGCAACGAGCGCAACCCACGUCAUUAGUUGCUAACAGUUCGGCUGAGCACUCUAAUGAGACUGCCUUCGUAAGGAGGAGGAAGGUGUGGACGACGUCAAGUCAUCAUGGCCCUUAUGUCCGGGGCGACACACGUG